Molecule: long non-coding RNA, 660 nt
Filed under: Pan troglodytes (chimpanzee)
Lineage: Eukaryota; Metazoa; Chordata; Mammalia; Primates; Hominidae
Description: lincRNA
Source: RNAcentral
CCCGCGCGCCCGCGCGGCGGAGGAGAGGUGUUAAGUGUGAUGCUUCCAUAAUACAUUUGGAUGUUGUCAGCUAAGUUCACUUCUGAACUAAGGGGUUCCUCCAAAUGUUGGCUGAAAUUCAUCCCAAGGCUGGUCUGCAAAGUUUACAAUUCAUAAUGGAGCUACUGUACUGGCUAUUGGAAGGAGGAGAUUCUGAAGAUAAGGAGGUAAAACCUGUUUAGAAAUUAAAAAUGAGUUACGAUUUAAAGAAAAUUCAGAUGACUCAUUGUGAGUGCUAGUUCUCUUGUAGGAUGCCACUGGAAAUGUUGAAAUGAAAAAUAUUCAGCCGUCGGUCUUUGAAAUUUCCUGUGAUGUAUUUCAAUCGAGAUGCAAAGAACAUGGAAAAAUCAAAGUGCUCAAGUGGUUUAAAUAUGUUUUGGAUGUUCCUGUUUAUAGACUAUAAUACUUUUCCAAUUAAAAUCCUCAGUUGUCACGCAGAAGAAGGUUAAGCUGUAUUUGAUUGCCAGUUUUACUGAAAAUGCUUAGUAUUUUACAGUAUCACCAAAUAUAUUUUGUUUAGCCAAGGUAUAGGAAAAAUAAAAUAAAUUGUAUAGGUUGACUUUUUUCUAAAAUGUCUUUAUUGGAUAGAAUGAAUGUUUAUACCUGAAAAAAAAAAGGUUC